RNAcentral lists this long non-coding RNA (39492 nucleotides) under Medicago truncatula (barrel medic). RNAcentral describes it as "long non-coding RNA (MTRU_LNC006202)". The stretch from base 39250 to 39420 matches the Rfam family "MIR2619 microRNA precursor family". Lineage: Eukaryota; Viridiplantae; Streptophyta; Magnoliopsida; Fabales; Fabaceae. The record is from RNAcentral.
UGGCAGUUUUGGCCUCCCAAGGUAAAAUAAAGAUAAAAAAUUGGCUUAAUUACACCACGGGUCCUUUAUGUUUGACGUUUGUAACAGAUAGGUCCUUUAAGUUUGUUUUGUAACAGAUAGGUCCUUUAACUUUGUAACAGUAUACAACUAAGUCCUUCCGUUAACUCACCGUCAAAAAAACGCUGACGUGGCUGUGAAGUCUGUGAUGUGGCAUGCAAAAGGCAAAAACAUGUUAUUAAUUGGAAAAUGUUAUGAUUAUUUUUGAAGAUUGCUAAUGUAACUUGCAUGUUGUUGGCUUUAACUUAUGUUAUUGCAACAAUAAGCUUGAUAUUUAAUCAAGUAAAGUGAAUAAUCCUUGUAACAUGUUGUUUUUUUUAGUUUAAUUUAAGCGUGCAAUCAUGUUAGACGAUGAAACAUUGUUGAGUGUAACAUUAAUGUAAUGUGUUAAGUGUUUUGUUUUAAGAAAAUAAAUAUUUUGUUAACGGAAGGACUUAGUUGCACAGUGUUACAAAGUUAAAGGACUUAUCUGUUACAAAACAAACUUAAAGGACCUAUCUGUUACAAACGUCAAACUUAAAGGACAUGUGGUGUAAUUAAGCCUAAAAAAUUUGACACGUGGCACCUCACUUAGGGUGCCACGUCAGCGUUGACCGAGUCAACAUUGGACUGGUGGUUCAAAACUGCCAAAGAAUCAAAAUAUAGGGGGCUGUUUUGUAUUUAAAUUAGUUAGGGGUCCAAAAUGCAAUUAAACCGAUAUAAAUGGUUCUCUUUAGUUUCUAUUGCCAAAUCAAGUGUGAUUAACUUCAUAAAACUGAAAUAAAAUCUGCAAAAGAGUGAUUGAAGCUUAUAUUCUGUGUGCAGUGAUCUCACUCGCAACUAUCUCAAUGGCACAAUUCCAACGAGUUUUCCUAGCAAUUCGCUAGUUGUUUUGUAAGUCAUCAUUACCUUUUUGCUCUGUGUAUUGUGUAAUUCUUUAUGCAUGAGUCAUGCAAUUUUUUUUUUGUUAAUGGUAAACCAGUUGAAUUGUUUUAUAAUAAAAAUUUCUUAACUUGGUAACUUUCUUUGCCUAAGUGGCUUCCAUUACUGACUUUGUUUUUUUGGUAUUUCAAAUUAUCAAUAUGUACUACUUUUAUCGUGAUUCAGGUCGCUUUUGGGAAACCGAUUAAGUGGUCCAAUUCCCACAGAAAUUGGUGAUAUUUCUAGCUUGGAGGAACUGUAAGUGUUGGAGAAGAUUAAUUUCGAUGUUAUGUUAAAAAAUGUUAUAUAUAGAAGGUUUAAUACUUAACUGACAAUUUUGUUUUGCAUGUUCAUAGGGUCUUAGAAAGUAAUCAACUAGGCGGACCGCUUCCUCGUAGUCUCGGAAAUUUGAUCAAGUUGAAGAGACUGUAAGACUGUUUCUUUCUUCUACUCAUUAUCAUUUUGUUAUAAAUGACCAAUUUUAAUAUUUUAAAUGAAUUUGCAGGCUCCUUUCUUCGAAUAACUUUACUGGGAUAAUACCAGAUUCAUUUAGCAAACUAAACAAUCUCACUGAUUUGUGAGUGAUUUCAACUGAUACAAAUGCUUUUUAUACAUUUAUAUGUAUGUCUCUAUUGAAUUCUGAAAUCAGUGUUUGCAUUUUCUGCAGUAGGAUAGAUGGAAGCAAUUUAUCUGGACAGAUACCUAGUUUUAUCGGGAACUGGACCAAACUUGAGAGAUUGUUAGUAUACACUUAAAUCUAUCAGUGACCUUUUUCUUGACAUCUUUUCUAGUUUCUGACAGAAAUUUUAUGAUUUUUAUAGGAAUAUGCAGGGUACAUCUAUGGAUGGUCCAAUUCCUCCCACCAUAUCGGAGUUGGAACUUUUGACUGAGUUGUGAGUACUUGCACCAUUUCAAAAUAUGAUUUAAUUCAUGAAUACCGUUAAUGUAAAGACUUUUCACACUGUCAAUCAAUCGUAAUCGUCAAAUCGUUAAAACAAAAAAAAAAUGGAAGCUCGGUAUGCGGGUCAAGGAGUGACUAGUCAUGGGGACCAAUCCAACUACCGUCCACUAGAGGUGGACCCAAUUGAAGUCAGAGUAAAAUCUAUGGACUGAACCAACACAGGAAUUGUUGGCACUUGGAGGAAUCGAACCUGAUACCAUGAGAGGAGCAUGUUCUAAGGUCAAAAGCCUACACCACCAGGUCAACCCAUGGUGGGGGUUAAUCGUUAAAAUAUUUGAUUUUAAUCAUAACAAAUUUAAAGUCACACGUCGCGUUUUGUGCACAGCAAAAACUUCUUAUACAGACAAUGUAUCGAAAGUAAACUCUUCUGAAGAUUCCUAAAUUUUUGUAUUUAAUAUGCAUAUAUUGUACAAUUGUUGUGGAAUAAAAUCUUCAAAGGUGGAACAUUUCCUUCUCACGGAUGAAAAUUUUCUCUGUAUCAGGAGAAUAAGUGAUUUGAAUGGACCAACCAUGACAUUUCCUAAUCUGAAGGGUUUGAAAAACUUGCAACUACUGUGAGUUGAGUCAUUUUCAGAUAUUUUGUGAAGAACUAAAUGAUUCAUUUCGUUUCUUUAUUGUAAUGUUAUAUUUCUGUGAUUCAGGGAGUUGAGAAAUUGCUUAAUCACAGGUCCUAUUCCUGAUUACAUUGGUGAAAUGACAGACUUAAUUACUUUGUGAGUCAAAUUGAUAUUCAGAUCAAAAUUAUUUCUCUUCUUUUUGCCAAACAUUUAACAUUCCAAAAAUUGAAGUACAUGGUAUGUGUAAUGAUUCAUAAGACUAUUAAUUAACAUUAUAGUAAAUCUACUUUCAUGCAGAGAUCUAAGCUUCAAUAUGUUGAAUGGUUCAAUCCCAAAUUCAAUUCAAGGAUUGAAAAGGCUAGAUUACAUGUAAGUGAACAUUCGACUUACUGACCAAAGGCUAUCUUCAAUGUAUUUUAAUUCUUCUAGUAAUUUGAUAUCUGGAAAAUAUGCUGCUUUUUCUUUAUUGAUUUAACUUUUUUUGUAUGGAUGCAGGUUUCUGACUAAUAAUUCUUUGAAUGGACCGAUUCAAGACUGGAUACUGAACUUCAAAAUUAACAUGUUAGCAUAUUUCACUUACCAUGCUUUCUCCAAUUGCAUAUUUAGCAUUGCACAAUUGAGUUAUGAAGAAACUUAAUUUUGUCUAACUAUAUGGUCUCUUUCAGAGAUUUAUCUGACAACAAUUUUACAAAGUCUUCUGCAACUAGCUGCCAGCAGUUGAAUCUGUAAGGUUCUCUUUGUUUAGCGAUAUAUACACAUUUCAUUUGUGUCAAAGCUAGUUUUUGCUAAUAACUUCUGUUUCUAAAAAGGAACAUGGCUUCGAGCCAUUCGUCUUCAGCGGUCACUUCACCUUCGUAAGUUCUAUGCUUAUUUUCCACGUGGCUUGUCAACGUUGAAUUAGAUGAUCCAUUGAAACUAACUACAUUCAUCUUGUAGAACGUUUUGUUUGAAGAGGAACCUUCCUUGUACAAGAAAACCCCAGUGUAAGUGUUGAGCAUAUUUAGUAAAUCGGUUGUACAUGAUCCAUAAUCCAUAAAACUGAACAAGUUAAAGUUAAUCAAAUGAAAACGUAUGAUGAGUUUUUUUUUUUUUUUUUUGUACUGAAUUUUGAUUAGAUUUUUCCUGUCUUUUCAGAUAAUUCAUUGUUCAUAAAUUGUGGAGGACCUCAAGGGGAUUACGAUGGAAAUAACUAUUUCGGCGAUCUGCAGAGAGAUGGAAUUUCAAAUUUUGUUCUUAGAAAUGAAGGACAUUGGGCUUAUAGCAGUACAGGAGUGUAUAUGGGAAAUGUCCAUGCAGAUUAUACUGCAUUAAAUACAUUACCUUUGAAUAUUACUGGCCCAGAAUACUAUGAAACCGCGCGGCUUGCUCCUCUGUCACUUAAAUACUAUGGCCUAUGUAUGCAGAAGGGAAAUUAUAAAGUGAAACUCCAUUUUGCUGAGAUAAUGUUUUCUGCUGACCAGACUUUUCAAAGUCUUGGAAAGCGCAUAUUUGAUGUUUCAAUUCAAGUGCGUACUUAAACAAAAUAUCUCUUUACAUUAUUUUGAUUGAUUCUUAUAUUUUCAUCAUAGUCUGAAGUAUAAGUAAAAAUGUAAUGUAUCUGGUAUUUGAAGAAAGUAGGUGCCCUAAAUUGAAGUUAUGAACUUAAAAUGCUACAUCUUCACAGGGUUUUAAAUAUUUGAAAGAUUUUAACAUCAUGGAAGAAGCCGGUGGAGUUGGAAAGGGCAUUACUAAGGAAUUUGAUGUCGAAGUGAAUGACACGACCUUGGAAAUUCACUUAUACUGGGCAGGGAAAGGAACCACUGCCAUUCCUGACAGAGGUGUUUAUGGACCUCUUAUAUCUGCUAUCACAAUAACACCUAGUAAGGUUUUUUUUUAUCAUUUUUAAUUCAACUACCAUGCUAUGUCAUAUUCUAUAAGCAUCACAACUUUGUUGUAGACUUUAAAAAUCACUCAGAAGGGCUGUCUGCUGGAGUUAUCGUUGGAAUUGUGGCUGCAGCAUGUGUGCUUCUCAUGCUUAUAUUGGUUACCCUUUGGAAGAUGGGUAUCCUUGGUGAAAAAGAUACAAGAGACCAAGGUAAGAUUCUAGUUCAAUAGAACAUGAGUUUAAUUUACAAUAUAUAUAUAUAUAUAUAUAUAUAUAUAUAUAUAUAUAUAUGGUACAAACAUGUUUACUAUGCAUCCAUAUUCUUUGGAGGCAUAAAAUUACUGUAUGGAUACAGAAUGAGGACAAAUUUAAAAGAAUAUGCUGAUUUGGAAUCAAUAUUAUGGCAACACAACUUUUUUCUCCUAUAAAGUUGUAGGAUUCGUUAUAUUUUCCUUUUUAAAUUGCCUCUUCUUAUUCUCUUACUUACCAAUUUUAAAAAAUAUGAUUGGCGACUUACUUGUAAAUCUUCCAUGUUGUAGAGCUUCUUGAUCUGAAAACAGGUUAUUUCAGCUUAAGACAAAUUAAAGCAGCCACUAAUGACUUUGAUCCUGCAAAUAAGAUUGGUGAAGGGGGAUUUGGGCCAGUAUACAAGGUAACUACGGAUAGACCGUGCCAUUUAUCCCGCAAAACUUCUAUCUAUUUUAAGAGAAGUCUCUGCUAAUGACACAUGCCAGCACUUUAUACCUCUAGUAUCCGCCCUUUUUUCCCACAUCCAUGCAAAUUAAUGCAUGGAUGUGUUGUCAAAUGGUGAUGUCAUUGCUGUUAAGCAGCUCUCCGUACAAAAUUUUGUUAAUGGUCGAACCUUUGGUGACAAAAACCAUAGCUAACUUGUUUAGCAAGUAAUGUCUUACUAUAGUUCAUUUGAUUAGUCUAACUGUGAUAAAAAAAGCACUUCAUGUAGUCCACUCCCUCCGGUGCUUAUAAAUGUGACCGAAGGGUUUUAACUAUGAUUUAAAGUUUUACUAACUUGUAUAUAAAAAGCAUGAUAUUCAAGCCAUGGUUUAAUUAAUGCAGGGUGUGUUAUCAAAUGGCGAUGUCAUUGCUAUUAAGCAGCUCUCCUCAAAAUCAAACCAAGGGAAUCGCGAAUUUGUUAACGAAAUCGGAAUGAUAUCUGCUUUGCAGCAUCCAAAUCUUGUUAAGCUCUAUGGCUGUUGCAUUGAAGGAAAGCAGUUGCUGCUGAUAUAUGAAUACAUGGAGAACAAUUGUCUUGGCCGUGCACUUUUUGGUGAAUACCUCGUUAACAAUAUUACCUUGUUGAUUUGUUGUUGUGUGUGUAACUGAAAUAUCUUUUUCGUUCCCCCGUAUUUCAAAUAGGUCAUCGACAACAGAAGCUGCACUUGGACUGGCCUACAAGAAUGAAGAUCUGUCUUGGUAUAGCAAAGGGGUUAGCUUAUCUUCAUGAGGAAUCAACAUUGAAAAUAGUACACAGGGAUAUUAAGCCAACUAACGUAUUACUUGACAAGGAUCUUAAUGCCAAGAUCUCUGACUUUGGUUUAGCUAAGCUUAAUGAAGACGGGAAUACCCAUAUCAGUACACGAAUAGCUGGAACAAUGUUAGUACUUGCCACAACUAUUUAGCUUGACCCAAAGUCUUUGUUCAAAAUUAGUUGAUAUUUUGUUAUUAGCAUUAACAACCAAGACUUUGUUCAUUAUCGCUCUAAGUUAUACAGCAUCUUUCGUAACCACUCAUGUUUCACUGCUUCUUAAUAGUGGCUACAUGGCUCCAGAAUAUGCCAUGCGGGGGUACUUGACUGAUAAAGCAGAUGUAUAUAGCUUUGGAGUUGUAGCUUUAGAGAUUGUUGCCGGAAAAAGCAACACAAAUUUCCAACCAAUGGAGGAGUUUGUAUAUCUUCUUGAUUGGGUAUGUAUGAACUUCCUUUUUGAUUUGUAUGGACAGAGAGUAUAGAUUCCGUCUAUUUUCAAAUUGAAUUGAGACCUUCAUUACUAUAAUAUUUUGUCACAAAGUCUAGAAAUAUGUGUCUUUAUACGUACUAUGGAGCUCUUCAUUUCUUCUGAGAAGAUUGCUACCCUGGUCUUAUAAUGCCAAACUUAUCCUCUUUCUUGUUUUUGCUAUAUUUAUGGUUUGGUACUUUGGUUAAUUUUCUACUCUCUUAAUUUGUGCACGUGUCGUUGAAGGCCUAUGAUCUCAAAGAUCAAGGAAACCUCCUGGAGUUGGUGGAUCCAAGUCUUGGUUCAAGGUACUCGAAAAAGGAAGCCAUGAGAAUGCUGAACUUAGCAUUGUUAUGCACCAACACAUCUCCCGGUCCUAGACCAUCCAUGUCAUUGGUAGUAAGCAUGCUUGAAGGAAAAACUCCAAUUCAAGCACCAGUAAUCAACCGCGGUGAGAGCGGACAACACGUAAGAUUCAAAGCCUCCGGAUUGCAGUCACAAAACAGCCAACCUCUUGAUUCUUCUACAUUCUCACAUGGAAGCAAAAGACAAGUAUCAGUUCACUCCUCCACAUCUCUUCAAUGUGAAGAUGAUUUUUCAUCAAGCAGUAAAAGUCCUUGAGUUUCACAUCGUGUUUAGAGCAUGCUAAAUUACAAGUUUUUUUAAGGUGGUAGAUAUAGUGUAUAAACUGCAGAUUGACAGCAUAUCAAGAAGAUAAGCAAGAAUAGAAGUUUGGUUCCAUCAGGCUUACAAAUGCAUAGCACAUUUACAUGUAUUUGCUGCUAAAUUGUGUGAUUAAAAGGCAUUUCUCGUGUGUUUUCUUAUCAAGAUUAUAUUGAUUUUUCAGUUUUGAAUCUCCAGCUGGCUUGCAUUUAAGUAUUGAAUAUGAUCGAAAGAUUGAUAACGAAAUACAAGUUUAGUAUGAACAGCUUUCUCAAUGAUUUAUAUAGUUUGUCAACAAACCUUUAUAUUAAUAUAGAAGUUAAUACUGAGUUAGUUAUUUAGAGUUUGUUAGUAGGUUGUUAGUUAGUUCCUUACAAACUCUAUAUAGAGCAAACCUUGUACUCAUUGCUCAUCUUUUCAUCAAAUCAUUCAAUAAGAAUAAUAAAGAUGUUUCCUUUGUAUCAAGUUCUCAAGUCUACUUCCCCUAUGAACUUCAUUUUCAACUCUUUAAUCACAAGGUUAUCAAGACUUUUCAAUUUCUUUUUUUUAUGAAAAUCGAUAUUUGGACCAAGGACGGGAGACCACACGCACCGUCCACUAUCGUAGGGCCUAAUUGAAGUCAAAACAAAGUUCUGUAUGGACUAGACCAACAGAAGAAUUGUUGGCAUUUAGAACAUGGGACCUAAACAAGAGCACACUCCCAAGUCUCAAGCCUUCACCACUCAGCUAACCUUUGGGGUUUCCUUUUGAAUUUCUCUUAAUAAAGCAAAAAUAUAUGCUAUAAUAUUACAGUAUCGUAAAGGUUUCGGACAUAAUUUAUCUAGUAAAAAUUAAACUUGUGCUUACCUGCACAUUUUUCAAAACCCACCUUUGUUUGUAAAAUAAGUAUUCGCCGCGUACAACGGUAAAGACUAAUCUCUCAUGUGAGUUAGGACCACAACGCGCAAAACAACAUGCAUAGCCAUAAGUUGUAAAGAAGUAUGGGAACUUAAUGACCAAAUUUCUCUAUUUUAUAGAGUUAUGAAAACUUGAUACUCUUCAAAAAAGGGUUAUUCAAUGCUCUGACUUGGGUCACCUAAGUUUCACAUGGCGGAGUACAUAAAGGUCUUAAUCUUUGACCCAAGUUUCACAAUAGACCUUUUUAUUGUAGUCUUUUACAACUAGUCUUGCAUUGUGUCCUUCAAUUUUUCCUUUGACAUUAUUCUUUGUCUUGUACAUUUAUUUUUCCUUACGAUCUUUUGGAAUUAAGACGUGGUCUCACACAUUAUCCUUCUUAAUAGUUUGAACUUCUUCGUCUGCUAGACCUUCCCGUCUUUUAUCUUGCACAACUUCUUCAAAAUUCACUAGUUUAUAACUUGCAGAAGGACAUAAUAGUGUGAGACUAUCCAUUCCUUCAGUUUCCAUUGAAGAAACCCUUCAAGGGUUGUUACUCGUCUCCAAGUGACAUAAGUUAUAUACAGAUAGAAAAUCACAUUCUUGUGAGUAAAAAUUCUGUCGAAAUCUAAAUCGUUUCUUUUUUUAUCUAGUGCAUAAGUGUAGUUAAGAAAACUUUAUUUUGUAAACUAUCGUUGAUCGAUUUUCUGAUGUGAUUGUGCAACUCUUGUCAAUAAUUCCAAGGUAUCAUGAAGAGAAUUGUAAGUAUACUUAUUUGCAUCUGAUUGAGAUAAAAUGGUCGAGACAAAUCAAAUCUAAAGCUUAGUAUAUACACACGGUUUGAAAUUAUUUAUGCAAUCAUUGUCAUUCAUUUUCAUCUUAACAAUACUAAUGACUAGGGGUGUUUAAAACCGAACCAACCCAAAUCAAAAUUCGCAAACAACCAUGUUUGGUUUGGAUUUACUUGGGGCACUCUUUGACACACGCUUGUGGUUUCUUUUUGCCCCAUGAAAAAAACCAAACCAAACCUCAAACUUAGAGAAGCACUCACUACGCCGAAACACUUACUCAACCCAAAAUAGCCCUUUUAAUUAUAUUUUCUUUGGACCUUUUUUCUUCUUCUUAUUCUUUAAAUUAAUAAAAAAAAAAUAUUGUGCAAAUCAUAUAAAAUAAACACCAACCUUAUCUAUAAAAUAUUUCACCAAAACCUCCAAAAUAAAGAAUAAACUUUAAAAAUAAUAUCAACGAAGAGGUAAUUGUAAAUACCAAUGAUUUUGGGUAUAUUUUCAUGAUAUUUAUACAAUAAUUUUGUGAUAAUUUUUUGACAAUUUUCUCUCUCAUACUUACUUGAUAUUUUUAUUCUUUCUCUUCCUUUUUAUCUCUCUUUUGCUUCUAACCAAUAAGAGAGAGAAAACAUGGUUGUCGCCAAAGUAAAUAAAUGUACAAAUAUCAUUGCUCUAUUUUCACUCAACCUUUUUUUUCCUUCAUUGUGUAUAUUGAAUCGAUUUUUUAUUGUUGCACCUUUUGUUUAUCUACCUUAAUCAUAUUUGAAAUUAAUUAUUAAUUGCUAUAAAUUUGUUUAAUUGUUACGGCUACAAUAAUUAAAAUUAUUGUCAAAUUUUUUAAAUCAUUUCAAACCACGUUGAUUCAAUUUGAUUUGUUUAAAAAAUCAAUCGAAACAAAUCAAAUUGUAUAUUUUUUUAUCUUAUAUUUUAAAUACUCCUUUCAUUUUAUUUUAAGGCUUAAUUGAACUCCCGGUCCUUUAAUUUAAUUCUUUUUUUUAAAUUGGUCCUAUAACUUUUAAACGUUUCAAUUUGGUCUUUUAUAUGUGUCUAAGUCUGUCAAUUUGGUCCUAUUUCCUUAAUUUUAACUCCUUAAAAAAAGAGACCGUUGGAUAAAAGAGAUCCAUCAGAUUUAACAGUGUAUCACCAACACCUAAUUUAUUCUACUUUUCUUCAUCUUCUUCCCACAUCUUCAUCUUCAUCUUCAUACAACAUUCAUCAAUCUUCAUCAUCUUCAUAAAAAAGCCUAAUUUUUUCUUUUAAAAAUUAUCAUUUUUGAAAUCACAUAAUAAAACUCUUAAAUCUAGAAUUAACACCACCAUCUUCAUCUAACUCACAAUCAAAAUUAACACUCAUUUAUCAAAUCAAUCGCCUUCAACUAUAAAUCCAAUUUAUCUUCAACCAUAAACUCAAUUCAAAACUAACACCCAAUUUUUUUCACCUUCAACCUUCUCUCUCACAACCGGAAGAAGUUCUGUCAUAAGCGUUCCUGGACUGAGCUCAAUUAGAUUUACACCUUUGAGGUGCUUGAUGAGUUCAGAAUUGGAAGUGGGUUGGCAAGAAUGUUCUGCCAAAAGGAAUACAAAUGAGAGAUUGAAGAAGAAAAGAAAUGGAGAAUGAAGAGAGUAGUGUUACGGUAAUACUGUUACCAUUACUAGGUGGGUUGCAAAGGGAAGAUCGGUCGAUGGAGAUUGUAAAAGAAGACGAAUGGCAUUGUGCGACUGUGAUCUAUUUGUUAUUUGUUUUCUUUGUUCAUAAAAGAAUUGACGCCAUUGAAGGUAAAAAAAAAAAAAAAAAAAAGGUGUUAGUUUUGAAUUGAGUUUGUGGUUGAAGAUGAUGGAUUUGAUAAAUAGGUGUUAAUUUUGAUUGUGAGUUAGUUGAUGGUGGUUGUGUUAAUUUUAGAUUUAACUAUUUAAUUAUGUCGUUUUUUUUUUUAGUUUUAAUGAUAAUUUUUUAAAGAAAAAAAUUGGGUUUUUUAUGAAGAUUGAUGAAUGUUGUAUGAAAAUGAAGAUGUGGGAAGUAGAUGAAGAAAAGUAGAAUAAAUUAGGUGUUGAUGAUACAUCGUUAAAUCUGAUGGACUUCCUUUAUUUAACGGUCUCCUUUUUUAGGGAGUUAAAAUUAAUGAAAUAGGAAUAAAUUGACCGACUUAAACACAUAAUAAAGGAUCAAAUUGAAACUUUUAAAAGUUAUAUGACCAAUUUAAAAAAUUUAAAAAUAAGUUAAAGGACCGGUAGUUCAAUUAAACCUUAUUUUAAUUAUCCAGUCUCAAUAUAAUUAUAAUUUUAGAAUUGUUUCAAAAUCGAGUCAAAGUGGAUCUAGAACACUCCAAGGAGUGAAUAGAAUCAUUUUGGCGGGAGUUUUGUACAGUCUUUCUCCCUCUCAUGACAAAAAAAAAACUUUCCAUCGAUAGAAUGAACCAAUAAACACGAAGAAGACGAUUCAGUGAAUAAAAACACCACCGUCUCAUUCCCUCUUUCAUCAACAAUGAGUUCAAACUCAGAUCCAAUGAUACGUUACUCCCACACAAACCGCAUCGUUCUUCUCAUAGAUCUAGACCCACUCCUCCUCCUCCUUCACAACACCACCACCACCACCAACUACAUCAAAAACAUUCUCUCCACCUCUAAAACCCUAUUUUCUUUCCCUCCACUUUCCACCUCUCUUUUCGCCUUCAAAUUCUUCUUCUCUUCUCUCCCACCUCAUCUCUCUUUCUCUAAACUCCAUCCUUUUCUCCCUAAACACUCUUUCUCCUUCGAUCACCCUUUCUCCACUUUCAAUCUCCUCUCCAAAACCCUAUCCACUUUCCCGAAUUUCCCUCUAACUUAUAACCCGAAAGCCGCAAAUCUCAUUGAUUCCCUCACUCAGCUUCUUCAUGAUUACCCCUGGGAACCUAAUUCCGACGCCGACACCGACACCACAACUCCUCUUGUUUCUCCUAAUUUAAUUCUAUUGUUUACUCCUUUUUUCAAUUCAUUUAAUUCACUUGCAGGAUUUUUCGAUUCUGAUGAGGAUUCGUUGCGAAUUGAGAAUUCUUUCUGUGAUAGGUUUUUAGGGUUUUUUGGGAAUGUCAGUCGUAGGUUUAGGUCUAAGGGUGUUCAUUGUAGUUGGAUUGGUGUUAAUAGUGAUGAUAAGGAGGAUGAGGUUGGUAUGAUUCGUGGUUUGUUUGAGAUUGGGACUGGGAAAUUGGGUUGGGGUUUUUGUUCUUUGGAUUCAAUUUUGCUUGGUUCUGCUCUUGUUCCUUUUGGUUUGAUAUAUCCCAAAAUUGGGGUUUCGUGGAUUUCUGUUCGUUGUUGUUCUAGGGAAGUUAAGGUUCAAUUGACUCUUGAGAUUUUGGAUGUGAAUGGGAGUCCUAUUGAGUACAAUUGCUGUGAUCUUGAAGUUUUGGAUUUUAGGGUUUUCGGUAGAGGGGAGGAUGUGAAUUUACAAGGUGGUGGAAGGAAGGAGAGGCUGUGGAAUGUGUGUUCGGAUGGAAUGGCGAAAUUGAAAGUUACGGUUGUGCGCAAGUGUGAUGCAUUUGUGAAGUUUAGGUCAUGUCUCUCUGAUUCGGUUCUGGUGCGUGAAGUUUUAGGGGAAUGUAUGAAGGGAGAUUCGGGUGGGUUUUUCGCUGAUAGGGUUCUUGAGUUGCUAGCAACUGAAUUUGGCUGUCAGGGGCGGCGAAAAUCUGUUCCCGUUUGGGAGAUGUUGUUGAGUUAUCUUUAUAAAGAAGAUUGUUGGGCUUUGGUGUCGGUUGACAGUGGUAAAGGUGGUGGUUCUUGUGUUGGUAUUCUUAGGCCUUUUACCGUUUCUUCGGCUCUUUUAUCUGUUUUGGAGGAUCCACAAUCAGCUUCUGAUUUUGGUGCAGCAAAUAUGAAUUCUUUUAUUAGGACAGGUAUUUUAAAAUCAGAUCGCAUAUUUCACAAGAACAGGGAUUUGGUGGAUUCUCAGGUCAAAGAUGUUGUGGGAAUUAAGGGUGAGCAGAAAAAGAAAAUGACAGAUUUAAGUGCACUUCGAAACCUCACAUGGAGCUCCUUUUAUGAUUUGGUAUAUGAUCAAUUUGAGAUGGAUCUGCAUGAGGUUUACUAUGCGAUGGAAUGUAACAAGUCAAAGAAGUUGAAAUUUUUAAAAUGCUGGAUGAAGCAGGUGAAGAAAUCUAGCUGCCAUGAUCUGAAUUUGUCAGAAUAUCCCAAGCCAAAUCAGAUAUUUGCAGAAGGGACUGACAGUAAAUUGAACGAGUUACCUCAAAAUGGUGAACAGCCAAUCCCGCAGGUGGUUAUGUCAGCUGGAAUUAAUGCUGAGGUUGAUACGAAAAAGGAUGAUGCGGUGCUUGAUUGUGGGUUAGAAACAUCUGAAGCAUUUUUUAGAAAUCUUUCAAACAGGAUUCAACAGGGAAUUGAAUCUGAUGUCAUAGACCUCGUAGCUUUGGCUGAGCGACUUGUUAAUUCAUCUAUUUACUGGCUAUGUCAGAAGGUUGAUAGGGAAACAAUUCCUCUGAUCCAGGUCCAUUCUCCUCUGAAAGAUAAUAAUGCUUGUGGUAGCAUGGUUGUAUCUGAAUUAGUAAAACAGUUGUUGAAGGAUCCCAAGGACAUAGCUGCAAAGCAUAAAAGUAGAGAUUCGUCCUCUCAGGCAUUUGAUGCAGCAGGACCAACUACUAUAAUCACAGAACAUGUUGUUAGAGAGUAUCCUUUUAUCACAUUUUCCGUAAUUUAUGUUUAUGAUUAUGAUGCAUAUUUUGUUUUCUAAAUUUACGGUUAUAAAAUUUGUGAAAUUUUGUUUCAUGUUUUUCCUUAAGUAAGAAUUAGAUAUGAACUGCAAAUUUUAUUUCGAUUGGAAAUUUUACAAUCAGAGGUUGGACGCGGAAUUGAAGAUUCCAGUAAACAGAAGUUUGUCAAACAAAUAUGCCUACUCUUAGAGAACAUUCAGUGCCACAUGGAAGGGGGGUUCUUUGGUGAUUGGAACCUUGAAAAUUAUGUAGCAAAGAUCAUAAAAAGCAGGUACAUGCUUAUAUUAACUCGAUUGAGAUGUCCCAUAUGUUCGCUGUUAAUUGUUCUGAAAAGUUAUAUUAUGCUUUAGCAUGAACUAUGGAGAUUUAAGGAUUUCUUAGUUUCUGUUUGGAGAUCAGUCAAUAACUCAGUUUAUUCUCAUUUUGCUGCAAUUAUGCCAAUAUAUAUGACAUUUUUUGGUGCUUGCUUCUUGUUUUGCUAUGUACUAGAGUUUUUAUGAGUUUCUUUUAGUUUGAUUCUCUUUUUUCAUGGAAACAAUGAACUUUAGUUAAUAACUGCCUAAAGUAAAGAAAGCACACACACUUAUGAUUGUGAAACCUGCGAAAUUUCAGAUAUUCUCACACCCUUGAAGACAUUGUUCAUAAAAUCUACAACAAAAUGGAUCUGCUUCUGUUUGUAAAUGAGGAUGAAGCCCCGGAUUGUUCAUUUAACAGUGAGGACAGCAGCAAAUCAUUGGAUAGAAAAUUUUACGGAGAUGAGAUGGGUGAAAAUGAUGUCGGUAAUGGACCUUUUUCAGCAGAAAACAAGCCUUUUCAUUUGCAGAAGAAUGUAAGAGGAAAAUUGCAAAGGAAUAUAGAAGGGGGUCAUAAUAAAACGCUAAUUGAAGCUCUCAAAAUUCGAAUGCCUGCUUUGCGAGUUUGGGCCCCAAAACAAAAGGGUAUGAAAUCCAAGAAAGAUCACCUUUCGAAGAUUCCAAAAAGGAAAGACCGAACAAGUGCAUGUUAUGACACAGUAUGUGAGACGCCAAUGACAAGAAACACACGGUCAAUGACAAGAAACACUGUAUGUGAAACGCCAAUGACAAGAAGCACACGGUCAAGCCCGCAGUCAAUAGGUUCAGAUGACCACAAUUACAUGGCUGAUGGGAAUCAAGUAUGUGGUUCAGUUGCUAAGGCAUUGUUUCAGGUAUGAUCUUUGAUUUGAUUAAACAAUACCUCACUCAGACUGACAGAAAAAUUGUAUAUGCCAACUACAAGAGCAAAUUGAGGCAAAUUCUGAAUACUAGAUAUAAUCUAACUUGACAUAGCUCUUUCAGUUUAGAUUGUCAGUAUUCGACCACUAAUGGUGGAAUGUUAUUGUUUGGACUCUGGAUUCAGAUUGGUUUCCCAGUAUUUACAUACAUGUCAGCUGAUUCAUUACAUUAUAAUAGUAAAUAAAUCAUAUGCUCAAUUCGAUGCAUUUGUAUAAUCAGUUUCUAUUUUAAUAGCUACUAAACUCCCUUUUUCUAUUAGAUAUUGCUUUCUGUUGUAGAUACUAAUAUCUACUACCAAGUGUAAUACUGGUGUGGUCCGAAUAUUCAGUGAUGUCAGUUUGUUGGUUAAGUUUGUAAAACUUAAAUAAGAAUUUCCAAAGAUAAGCUUAGGUAUUGUCUCCGAAAACUUCUCUUCUUCUGUUUGAUGUGUCAGACUCACAUUAUAUAUGCUUUGAGGACGAAAUUCCUCCUUAAAUCAUCAUAUCCACACAAGACGGAUGAAUGUGUAAGAUAGCCGUAAUGAUCAAUGUCUUUGCACUCCAAUUGUUUGAUAACUUUUUUGGCUAAGUAUCUGCUUGGUCUUUUCCUCUAAUCAUUAUAAAUAAAUAUUGUGAUUCUCAGACGUAAGAUCUUGCAACAAAUUUAUUUUUCAGUUUUUAUGAUUGUUGUUGAUUCAUAGUUUAUACUUGUUUGAGUGUAUCUAUGGCUUGUACAGUUGUACUUGUGUGCUUGUUAUUUAUGGUUGGUUAUUAUGAGCAAGUGGGGAUUCAAGAAUAGUUUGUUAGAUUUUCUUUAUCUAUUCGGUAGUUUAUAUCAUUCUUGUUGGAGGACUGAAUAUCAUAACUGUUGGCAUACAAUUGCGAAGUUUGAUUGCAAAAAGAUGCUCCAACCAUAUAUCCAGUGAUGACCGCCUUGGAAUGGGUUUGAGGAAAGAUUUGAACUUGUGAUUUUUUAUGUGAUGUAUAUGUGUUCGAACCAUAGUUAAAAAAAGUUCAAAAAUAUUUCCAGUCAUCGAAGAGAUUACUGGGAUAAGUUGCAGAUUAGGUCGCUCUCUUUAAGACAUUUCGUGACAUUUCCUAAAAUUGUGCAAGUAGAUUAUCAACCACGACGUCUCCAGAUAAAACAGCCCAACUAUAUUUGUAUUUGGAGUCCUGCACUGAAGGGUCUGUUCUUGAAAUACACCUUCAUUAUGGUAUUAAGAUCACUCGAAUACAAAACACUCAAAUGUGGUACAAAGACUACUCUGCUAUGAUAACCACUCAAAUGUGGUACUAAGACUACUUUGAUAUGAUAACCACUCAAAUGUUAUCACCAUUCUAACCUCUAACUUCUCCAAGGGUAGAGAAUAUUGAAAGGGAUUAUAAGACCAUUCUUAAUUUUGUAUGGACAAUAUAUCUCAAAAGAAACUAUGGUCUUAAGAAUACUCUUAAUUAUGAAGGGGCAUAAAUUGUCAAAGGGACUAUGCUCUUAAGACUAUUUUUAAUUUCGAAGAGACAUUAUAUCUCGAAAGAAACUAUGGUCUUAAGAACACACUUAAUUUCGAAGGGACGGAAAAGAGAGGGGAGAAGUGACUUGGAAAUGCAUCAAGCAGAAAGAGGGAGUUGUCUAUUACUCAAUAGAACUCUUUGGUAAUUGAAGUGAGGGAGAAUUUGAUAAGGUCUGAUUAGGACCGUCUUGAAAACAGGUAAGGAACUUGACCCUAACCCCGAUAUGUCGGUAGAAUCUACACUAUAAAAGUUAUUGACUCAAGAACAAAGGAAAAGUUCUCACAAUAUAGAAAAAAUUAAUUAAUCUUCAAAUUAUGAGUUGAGAAGUACAUGAGUUUCUUAUUUACCUAAACUUGAAAUACUAAAAAUAAUUUUAAGAUUAAUUAUACUCGCAAAAAUUGAAACAAAUUUUAAAAAUUGAGACGGAAAAUAUACUCGCAAAAUUUUAUUAUAUAGGAUAACACGUUUUACUUUGGCAUAUGACAAAGAGAAUGCUUAUGCAACCAUUACGAGCAGAAAGUCAGAUGUAUAUAGUUAUGGAACAGUUUUGCUAGAGCUAAUAAUUAGAAAAAAGGUGUUAGAUGAUUCUUCAUUGAUGGAAAAAAAAAAAAAGUCACAUUGUGUAGUGGGUUAAAUCUGUGUUGGAAGAAAUAAGAGACAAAAAUAGCAUUGUUGAUUCAAACCUUGUAAAGGAGCUUUGGGAUGAUAAACAAGAGACAAAAAUAGCAUUGAUGAUUCUUCAUUGAUGGAAGAAAAUCAUAUUUUAAACUCCUUGCGAUUCCAGUUAUAAGCCCCUGUUUCUUCUGGGUGUUCAACCGUGGAGAAUAAUUUUUCUGGUUUAAUUGUUUAUGUUAAUUAGGAUGAUAUCACUACCAUGGACAACUAUGACUUCACAUGAAUAAACUUUUCAAGUUUGAUCAGCAAAAAUUAAAGAAUUAAAAAAUCAAAUGUUUAAUCGUUGAUUUUCGAUGUGAAAUUAUGUCAUGCACCAUUCUCAAAUUUCAAACACAGCACCAUUUUCCCAAAGCCCACAUAUGGGUUUCACAGAUCGAAAGAGAGGGGAAGGCUGGGCAAAAGUACAUGGCAGAGAGUGGCUGAGGAAAAAAUACAUAAUGAGUGGCGAUGCAGUGGGGUGCGGCGGUGGCACAGUGGGUCAGUCAGGACAGAAGCUGUGAUGGAGAGAAGGGUUGAAUGUGAUUUGAUACAGGCAUGUGUAGUGUAAGCUCGGGAAAAACACUGUGAAUGUACUCCCUCAAAUGAAAUAUAAGCGAAAAAAAUGUAGUUGAAAAGUUGUUUGUGGAGUAUAUUUUUAAGCAGAUACAUCAAUUUUUUAACUAUCAUUUUUGCUUAUAUUUCAUUACAGAUUAAUACCGUAUGCGACAUGUUAGACUCGCACACCCUAGUCUUGGCCCUUCAGGAUAUAUAAUUACAUUUUCACAGAACAAUCAAGUUUUGCAGCCCAAGUUCUAAAAAUCAGUUUUGGAGACUGAAACUGGUAUUCUGAACCAAAUAACCAGUUCAGUUUGGGUUGUAUGAAAACCUGUUCAGCUUGGUCUGGCUUACUGAACUGAACCAAACCUUUGAUAAUCAGAAUAAUUCCAAAAUACUCUAAUCUUUGGCAUUCCACAUACCUCCCUCUAGUUUAGAGCUCAACUGCUCAACUUUUAACUUCAUUUCAUUGAAUAUUGCUAUCUAAAUAAUUGGCUCCGCAUUGGACAUAUGAUAUCUAGUUUGCCUAUUUUACAUAUUAGAUGUAAUGUAAAGGACAACAGGAUACAAGUGAACAUCAAAAAAUGAAAAAUCUGUUAAUGAGGAUUGAAUCGAGAAGUAUCCUCAGGCACAUACUUAGGCCUCAUCAUAUUAUAAUUGUAUUGGUCAUACUUUGUAUUAAAAUAACCAGCGGCCCUCAUUUCAAGUGGCUUUUGCUCGGUUCCAACAGCGCCCGAAACUUCUUCACUCUUUUCCCGUCGCCGGUGUCUUGACCUUUGUUUCUGGAUCUUGGAUUUAGUGGGAGCUGGAAUCUCACUUGAUCCAUAAAACUCAGCAUAUUCCUGUCUCUUUGAUGAAUGGUGCUUGCUCGGCAAAGAAGGAUCCUUGGGAGUGCUUGAUUUUACCUUAGCAAUCUUUGUUUCUGAAUAUUUUUCGGCUGCACUUUUAAGAUGGAUCUUCCUGGUUUCAGUAAGAGGAGGAGCAAGAGCACUCUGCCUUUUGACCAACAGUGGCUCUAAUUCAUCUUCAGGCAUCAGAAGACGAUCUUUCAGUGGUGUGAGGCCUCUCCUAGUGCUAUCAGGUCUGAAAUGCGAGGGUAUAAAUUUAGGAAAAUGUUACAUAGACACAUUUUAUUCUCAUACACCUCAUGAACUAGGAAGAGAGAAGAGAAGAGGAAAGAGAAAGUGUGCUUGUGCAGGGUCCACGUGUCACAUUUUUAUGUGGGUGUCAAAGAGUGUAUUGCCACCUAAGGAUGUCUAUGUAUCAUUACUCAUAAAUUUAAGGAUCGAACUAGUAAAUUCUUCCAGAGAGAGCUUCAAAAGAUCAACAACUUGUCUAAAGGAUGGCCAUCCCGUCUCCUCUUUAGUUCUCUCUAGAGUAGACUUAGAUUUAUCACUGCUUGCUUCGCCUUUAAAAUCUCUUUCUGAUGGUUGCUGCAGCAUGUAUGCAAUGUAAACACCAAGAAUAAAAUAUAGCUCUUAAGUUAUUUUAUCAUUACAAAUUUUUUUGAGGAAAAAUAGGCAUACCAUUUUUUAAAAGAAAGAGGAUCCCAAUCCCUGCUGAAGCAUGGAUGCAGCAUAUCCUACUAUCACAGCACCAACAAUUGUAAGGAUAUCUGCAGAAAACCAGCAAGAGUAAUGCAAUUUAAUAUAAAAAUCUAAGUUAAUUGGUAGUAGAGAGCCUAUAGGGGACUAAAUAGUAAGAUGAAGCCACUAAAAUAAUAAAAUUAAAAGUCACUUAACGGCGACUAUAUUCCCACAGAUGAUUAUUAAUGGUGCCUUCUCUUCCGGUUGAUGAUCAUCUUGAUGGUGACUUUUGUUUUGUUGUAACAAGCUGUGUGCAUAUGUCAUGUAUGCUCCAGCUUGAGGGGGGUAUUAAAAUUAAGAUGGGUUUACAAUAAAUGCAUUGGAUGCUUAAUGAGUAAGCAGUAGCCUAGGAAGUUGUAUACUAUAUAGGAUUAAUAAGAAUCAAUCUAGGAAGUUGUAUACACUAGGAGUAAGAAGAAUCAAUCUAAAGAUUCUUAAUUUUAACAGUCUCGAUGAGUUAACUAGAAAGCUAAAACUUUGUUUUCAAGUUUGUUGAAGCACAAUAACACAACAGAGAUGGAAGCAGCAUUGAUAAGAGAUCAACGACAGGAGGAACACAGUGGUCUUCAAUUGCUUGCACCACAAGUUACAGAAGCCAAGCACUAGUGAAGAGUUAGUUAGAGAUAAUAACUAACUUCCUUGAAUAUAGGAAAGUUAGGCAGUGAUGUAGUGUAGCUAGUACAUGUUAGUCUUAUAGUGCAGUAGCAAUAACCAACUAUAAAAGACAAUUCUAUAACUAACUUCAUUUCAAUGAGAAUUCUACACUUUCUCUUUCACUUUUUCUCUGUUUUCUCUCCUUUUCAUUUCAACAUUCUUGAGAUUUACAUGCCUGUUCCCAAUUGUGUAUGUAGAGUACGUUGUUCAUGUGAAUUCAUGUGUAAUGCAAGACGCAAUCAUACUCUGCUUUAUGCCAUUAGGUUCUUAAUUGGUUUGAAUGAAAAUUUUGCUAUGGUUAAGUCUCAGAUCUUGUUGAUGGAUCCUCUACCCCUGUACCCCCCUGUAAAAUUUACAGGGGGGUAAAUCAAAAAAAUUAUUUUACAGGGGGGAAAACCAAAAAUGACCUAUAUUACAGGGGGAUAAAGUACCAUUAACCCUAUUUUUUAACUGUUGUUGAUGAUUUUAGUAGAUAUACUUGGAUAACUUUAAUGAAAUCAAAGAGUGAAACAAGGCAACAUGUCAUUGAUUUUAUCACAUUAAUUGAAAACCAACAUGAUUGUCAUGUGAAAAUUGUUAGAAGUGAUAAUGGCCCUUUGUUCAUUAUUCCUCAAUUUUAUGCUUCAAAAGGAAUUUUGCAUCAAACUAGUUGUGUUGAAACACCUCAACAAAAUGCAAGGGUGAAAAGAAAACAUCAACACAUUUUAAACAUCACCAGAGCUUUGCUUUUUCAAUCACAUUUACCCAAGAAUUUUUGGUCAUAUGUUGCUAUUCAUGUUGUUUUCAUCAUGAACAGAGUUCCCAGUCCCAUUUUGAACAAUCAAACACCUUAUUUCUUAUUGCACAAUCAAACUCCUGAUUUGCAUCAUUAAAAAGUUUUUGGCUCUUUAGCUUAUGCAUCAACUCUUCAGGCAAAUAGAAUUAAACUUGAUCCUAGAGCAAGAAAGUGUGUUUUUCUUGGUUACAAAGAGUGGAAUGAAAAGGGUCAUCCUUCUUGAUAUUCAUUCUAAACAAAUAUUUGCCUCUAUAAAUGUCACUCAUCAUGAGUGCAUUUUUCCUUAUAAACAAAGUUCUUCAAAUGUUUCUUGGGAUUAUCAUACCCAUAUAGCACAAGACUAUGAAGUCAGUUCUGUCACCAAUAUCUCUCCAUCUACUGAAACUGUGUCUGACAUUUCUCAACCCCCCAUUUCAACUUCCACUAAUAAUCAAAUCCCUUCCACCUCUGAUACUGCUCCACCUCCUUCUUUACCUGUUGUGCACAAAUCUACUAGAGUUAGAUCUGCUCCAAGUUAUUUGAAAGAUUACAUAUGCAAUAACUCUUCUACUACUUCAUCAUCAAAAUCAGUCAACCCAGGUAUUUCUUAUCUCAUCACUCAUUUUCAUUCUUUUGAUCAUCUUUCUCCAUUACAUAAAGUGUUUUCCAUUUCUAUCACACAAAGUACUGAGCCUAAAACCUACAAAGAAGCAUGUCAGUCUGAACAUUGGUUGAAAGCUAUGAAUGAUGAAUUAAAGGCUUUAACUGAUAAUGGUACCUAGUCCAUUGUGAAUUUACCACCCAAUGUGAAGCCAAUUGGAAGCAAAUGGGUGUAUAGAGUGAAACAUAAGGCAGAUGGCUCUAUUGAAAGGUACAAAGCCAGACUGGUAGCAAAAGGUUACAAUCAAAUUGAGGGCUUGGAUUUUUUUGACACCUUUUCUCCUGUUGCCAAACUCACAACAGUUAGAACUCUUCUAGCUAUUGCUUCCCUCAAACACUGGCAUUUACAUCAGUUAGAUGUAAACAAUGCAUUUCUUCAUGAAGAUUUGCAGGAAGAUGUUUUCAUGAAUAUACCAAAAGGAUUUUUCAGUUUGCUUGGCAAAGUUUUCAAGUUACGGAAAAGUCUCUAUGGCUUAAAACAAGCUAGUAGAAAAUGGUAUGAGAAGUUGACUGCAUUGUUACUUCAUGAAGGAUAUUGCCAGUCCUCCCCUGAUUACUCCUUAUUCACUCUUCAACAUAAUAAUGAUUUCACAGCAAUCUUAGUUUAUGUUGAUGACAUUAUAUUAGCUCGUACUUCUCUCACUGAAUUUCAAAGAAUCAAAUCUAUUCUAGAUGCUCAUUUCAAGAUUAAAGAUUUAGGCAUUCUCAAAUACUUCUUAGGAUUGGAAGUUGCUCACUCUAAAGAAGGCAUUUCAAUUUCCCAAAGGAAGUAUUGUUUGGAUUUACUUGAAUCUUUUGGUCUCUUGGGCUCUAAGCUUGCAUCCACACCUUUAGAUACUUCAAUAAAAUUGCAUCAAGACACAAGUCAACCUUUUGAAGAUGUGUCUUGCUACAGGAGGUUGAUUGGAAGAUUGUUGUAUCUAAAUACCACAAGACCAGAUAUUUCUUUGGCUACUCAACAGUUGAGUCAAUUCUUAAAUGCUCCAACUAUUACACACUAUAAAGCUGCCAGAAGAAUAUUGAGAUAUCUUAAAAAUGAUCCUGGUCUUGGUCUCUUCUUUUCUAGAGCUUCAGAAACCCAAAUUCUUAGAUAUGUGGAUGCAGAUUGGGCAGGUUGUGUGGAUUCCAGAAGAUCCACAACUGGAUUUUGUUUCUUUUUAGGUUCUUCACUCAUGUCUUGGAGAGCUAAAAAGCAAGCAACUGUUUCUAAAAAGCAAGCAACUGCCACCUGUGAACUUCAGUGGUUAUUAUACCUACCGAAGGACUUCAGAAUUCACUGCAGCAAGCAACCAGUUUUAUAUUAUGAUAGUCAGAGUGCAAUACAUAUUGCUUCCAAUCCAGUUUUUCAUGAGAGAACAAAGCAUUUGGAAAUAGAUUGUCAUCUGGUCAGAGAGAAGAUUCAAAAAGGAAUACCCAGACUUCUUCCUAUCUCAACACAUGAACAAUUAGCAGACUUUUUGACAAAGCCUUUAGCACCUCCAAAGUUCAAUCAAUUUAUUUGCAAGCUUGGACUGAUAAAUAUUUAUCAUGGUCAAGCUUGUGGGAGGAUGUUGAAGCACAAUAACACAAUAGAGAUGGAAGCAGCAUUGAUAAGAGAUCAACAAUAGGACGAACACAGUGGUCUUCAAUUGCUUGCACCACAAGUUACAGAAGCCAAGCACUAGUGAAGAGUUAGUUAGAGAUAAUAAGUAACUUCCUUGAAUAUAGGAAAGUUAGGCAGUGAUGCAGUGUAGCUAGUACAUGUUAGUCUUAUAGUGCAGUAGCAAUAACCAACUAUAAAAGACAAUUCUGUAACUAACUUCAUUUUAAUGAGAAUUCUACACUUUCUCUUUCACUUUUUCUCUCUUUUCUCUCCUUUUCAUUUCAACAUUCUUGUUACUCAAUAAAGUUUUCAUAUGCCCCGUUUCUUAGUUCAAUUCUCAAAAAUUCAGUAAAUUCACAUCAGCAACAUUUUUUUUUCAUCAAAAUAUGUGUUAAAGAAGGGGACCAUUGGUGCAAUGUUGGUUUUAUUGCUCUAUAACUAAAAGGCCAUGGGUUCAAGGCAUAGAUUUAGCCUCUUGUUGUAGAAAUGCAAGGUAUGGUAUGGCUACCUGCAAUAUAUUCAUAAUGGGUUUGACUCUCCGUAGAUCUUGUCAAGGCAAAAUGUUCAUAUAAUCACUUUUUUCAAAGCAUAAACAAACAGACCCUUUAUGUAUUUGCCAAACAAGUCUAGGUUACAACUGCUCCUUUAAAUUUGACAAUUUGACAACAGAAUCGAAUCAAGAAACCUACCAUUGCAUAAAAAAUAAAAAAACAACUAAUAAAAUGUGUGUUUGGUAUACCGGUGGCGAGAAUUGAUAAAACAAUGUUUACACUCUUGUUUCUGUCGCUUUGCCUUUUUCUUUUCUCCAUAACCUUCUUUCAUCUAUCAACACCGAUUCUUUUUCCUACAUCUCAAUAAUUUCAUUCAUCCUUUCAAACGGAGUGAAAUUCAGAGGGAAAUUAAAAUCCCUUCUUUAAUGGUUUCAUGAUUUAUCUGUUUAUGCCUUGCAGAGGGAUAGUCAGAUCUGUGUGUGGUUGUGAGUUUCAGAGGUAAAAAGUGCAAGAUCUGGGUGGGGUGAAGAAGAAAGUUAUGGGUAAUUUGGUAAAAUGUUUCAAUCACCAAAAUUUAAAAUCCAAACUCGAUUUUGCUUUGCUGUAGAAGCUAGGAUUUUCAGCUUCAUCUCUACUGGCGUUUUGGACCCAAAACCACGUGAAUCACUUUUUCUUCAUCCAAACAACACAAAAAAUGGGGAAACUGCGUUUUGUAAAGUAAACGUGGGUUUGGCUUCUGAAAACGUGUUGCCAAACACACACACUGUUAGAUGAAAAAAAAUGCCAUCAGAGAUAUGCAAGGAAACUAUCGCAGAAGCAUUUGUCCAACAACUGAUGUUUGCAUUAGUCUCUGUUCUUUCUUCACUGAUGCCAAACAAUCAACACACAAACUAUUUUUCUCUGUUCUUUCUUCACAACUGAUAUUGAUAUGACCUUAUUCUUCUUUCUUUUCUUUUAGUUUGUGUAAAUUGUAAUCGGUUGGUGAUAUCCAAAAUUCAGAACCUGUUUUGUACUUACAUGUUUGUAAGGUCAAAUAAAAGCACCAGACUGUUAUCAUAUAAUAUAUCAAGAGAGAUGAUGAUUAACCAAACAUACCAAACAAAGAUUUAGAAUUUAAACCUGUCAAAGAAAUUGAACUAGAUUGAUAAUUACAAUCCUCCUGGUUGAGAAAAAUUUGCCGAAGAGCGGCAUUUCCUCUAUCAAUAACCAACAAGGAACAAGUUGGCCGAAUGUACACCACGUCAAAAUCAUUUGAGAGCUUAGCAUCCUCACCAGGCCCGUCCCUGUAGCCUGCGACAUUUGACUUUCCUCCAGCAAUGGUUGUCACACCUAAAAAAAAUAAAAAGAUCAGCUACAAUGAGUCAUCAUUUGUUUUCACAGUUCACAUAGUAACAGAACACUUAUCUAUUGAAUUUGAAUAAGAAAAUUUAUUUUCAAACUCAACUUUGAUGUUGUCAGAUACUAGUAGACCAUAUUAUUCCUCACUAGAUCCUGAAAACAUGUAUUCUUUUAACUUGGUUAACACGUACCAGCAUCUCCAAUUUUUCUGAUGGCCAUAUUCUGAGUAUCAGCAACAUAAACAUUCCCUUUAUCAUCCAGGGCUAUGCCUUUCGGAUAAUGAAAACGAGCAUCACUUAGCUUUCCGUCCACAUGACCUGUUCGGCCCAGAAAUGACCCAGCCACUAAUCUUUCUCUACUAUCUGCAAUAAUAUAACGAAAUAAAAGUGGGAAUUAAUUGCUAAGUCCAAAUAUCUGUUUCGUUAACUGCAACUGAUGCUGCUCGCAUGCUGCUAUUUGCAUACAUAAAUAAAUAAAGUACAAUGAAGCUUAUGAGUUCCUCCUCUUUUUUUUUUCUCUUCAUUUUCUUCUUCCUUUUUCAUCUUUGUGUUUGGAGAACUAAGAGCUCAUUUACUUCUUGAGUUUUCUAUUUCCAUUUCUACUGAUGCAUUAUGGAAGUUUUUAAAAAUUCGUUGUUUUCGGAAAUGCAUUCUCUCUAGUUAGCUUCUAUAUUCUGUCUAUCACAAUUAGAAAGAAAAAUUCAUAAACAAAUGGCAUUCCAGCCACCUACAUUCAAAGAAAAAAUUGAAAAUGUUGUUAGAAAGUUAACAGACCCUAAGCAACCAACCAUACAUACAUUGGGACAACGGCGGGGUGAUUCGAACAAUGUUGCUAUUAAUUGCAUCAACAGCAAAGAGUUCAUUUCAUCCUCGUCUCAACUACAUAACCAUUCUCAAAUUGAACAACAUUCCCAUCUGAUAACGUCACAAUACAAUUAACAAAUUAGUCCUCAAACUCUAUGAACAUAGACACCGGACACUGAUACGUCGACACCAAUAAUAAUUUAAAAAACAUAAUCACAUAGAUGAAACCUGAUUUUGAGGUCUUGGUGUUAGACAAUUUCCGUAUGAGAAGUGAAGAUAGAUGGUUGAUCAAUGUUCCUCCUGAUAAAUCUAUCACACCCAAUAAGGAAUGAAGUUUGAAGAAAAGGGAAAAUGAAAAGUUAGUUAGUUAGUUAACCUAAAGGAGUAGCGUGAGCUGAAAAAUGAAGAGAGAGGAGAGCAAGAGCAUAAAACAGUACGAAGUUUCUCAUUUUAGUAUGUUUGUGAGCCAAAUUCAACAUCAAGUACUUGUACUUUUACUUCAUUGUUCCCUUCACCGACCCAAUCUCUUUCACACAUACAAACAAACACUAGCACAUCAGGAAAAUAUGUUGAUGUAAAUGUUAUAAGAAAUACUUUUUUUAGGGAACUUUAUAAGAAAAUCUUGUGGGUUUAACUUUGCAAGAACAAUAGAUACUGCACCCUCCUGUCACUAUUUAUUUAUUUUUUUUAAGAAUUCUGUAGAGACAUGAGUAUUCCAAAUAUUUGAAUAUAGUCACAUUUGUAUUCAUAUGUUUACUCUAUCAUUUUAUGCGAUUAAUAUGGAUGUUGUGUGUUUGUUCACAGCUUUAUCUUUUUUUAUUUUAGCAAAUUUGUAUUGUAUCGACAAAAUAAUAUAUCAAAUUGAAUGAAUGAAUGAAUAUCGUUUAUUUUUGUCAAAAAAAAUAUUUAACUUUUUUCCGUAUGUAUGUUAAAAACAAUUGUUAAACCAUCAAUUGAUUGAUUCAAGUGGUAAAUGAUUUUCAUCAAUUAAAUAUGUGGUUGGAGGUUUGAUUAUUUGUCUCAUGCGAAAGGAAAAAAUGAGGGGACAAAAAACACAAUAAAUAUUUCAAUCCAUUAUCAUUCAUUUUCUCUCAUCUCUUAAAAAAAAAAUAAAGAAUAAGAUAAAUCUAUUUUUUGAAAUCUUAUUUUUUAACAGCUUCUCAUUUGAAUGUUUUUUUAAUUCUUUUUAUAUUCUAACUUUUUUAAAAAGUCAUAAGGAAAGGAUGUAAUGCUCUUAUCAGUGAUUUUUUUUUUUUUUUUAAAGUGUUUUUUUCUUAAAAAACCUAGAACAAUCAACCUCUUAGUUUUUGGAUCCAAUCAUAUAAAAGGGGUUUUUGGUACAGAAUAUAGGUGAGGAAAACACAAAAAGGGGGGUUGAAUUGUGUUGCCUUUUUCAAACUUACACAAACACUAUAACGCCCUAUUUUAUUAUUUAUUUAUUUUAAUUGAGUUUAGAUGUCUUUUUAUAAUUUAGUCGAUUUAUUUUGAUGAGUGAUAUUUUGUUAUGUUAUAUGUUGGUAUAUAUUAGUAAAAUAUAUUAUGUUAUUUGGUGUUGAAAUAUUAUGUUAUUUGGUGUAGAAAUAUAUAUGUUAUGUGAUGUAGAAAAAUAUUUGUUAUUUGGUGUAGAAAUAUAUUUGUUAUUUGGUGUAGAAAUAUAUAUGUUAUCUGGUGUAAAAAUAUAUAUUGUUAUUUGGUGUAGAAAUAUAUAUUUUAUCUGGUGUAGAAAUAUAUAUAUGUUAUAGAAAUAUAUUUGUUAUUUGUUAUAAAAAUAUUAUAUAUAUAUAUAUAUAUAUAUAUAUAUAUAUAUAUAUAUAUAUUAAUAUUGAGACUUGGAGGGCAGAUUUGGAAAUAACAGAAAAUAAGUAGGUUAAGGAUUUAUAUAAAAGGGGAGAGUUAGAAUUAGAAAAUAAGGAUUACGUAAAACCUGUUUUUGGAGAAAAAUGGAGAAAAUCAAGAGAAGAGAAGAGUCAGAUGAGAGAAAGCGGUAGAGUCCUUCGUCGAUCAGUGUAAGGUAAGGGUGAGACUAACUUUCUCUAAUUCUAAGUUGUAUAAUUCUGAAAUUGAGUUUAGCAUGUUGUAGGUUGUAGUUAUGAGAAUUUGGGAAUUAGGUUUUGAAGUUGUAAUUGGUUGUUAAUAGAGUAGAAAAUUCGUUGAAUUUGUGUAGAAUUGAUGUUCAUAUCAUGGGUUAUUCUUAGUGCAAUGUUUUAUAUAGUUUUGAGUGCCUUAACAUGUAUAGAAAUAGUUAGACAAGUUUUUGGAUCAAAUUUGGGCAUAGGGAAGUUAAAAUUGGGAUUUUGGGGUGAAAAGUGAGUUUUUCCCGAGUUGCUCUCUGACAGCACGUCCUGUUUCAUGUUCUUGCGUCUUUUUCACACGUUUCUGUAUUGAAUUGACCUUUGGUGUAAACAUGAAAGUUUUAGAUAAUUAUGUUAGCUUUCCAGUGGCUUUGGUUUGACUUGAAAAUGAUUUUUGGUUUUUGAGUUAUAAUGAAAAUACUCCAAAGAGGUCUUAGUGAAAUUUUAUGAAAAUUCAGCAUAACCGUUUCUAAGUCAGUCCAAAACUUAGAGAAUAAUUCCAAACCUCAAACUAGAAGUACUAGGAGUUUAAUUAAGGGGGCUUAAGAUUAUUUAACCUAUGUUGUGAUGGAUCUAAUUGGUUUGACGUGAAUAUCUUUGUUGAAUAAUUUGAAAUACAUAUACUAUAUGAAUGUUCUUGUUGAAUAAUUUGAGGUACAUAUAUUAUGUGAAUAUUGUAUGAUAUAAAAAUAAUGUUGUUAUACCAUCAAGUGGUUAUUAUUAAUGUUGUUAUGAUUCAAGUUGUUGUAUGUUGUUGUCUCUGCUGUUAUUGAUUAUUAAAUUAUUAAGUUGCAUAUGUUGGUCAAAGUUGUCAAGUUGUAAGUUGUUGUUCCAAGAUAUUGGAGUCAUAUGAGUUGUUGAAGUUGUCUAAGUUGUAAGUUGCUGAGUCCAUGCAUAUUCAUUUAAAGUUGAGGGCUUGAUGCUCUGUGAGUGUAUUUAUGCUCUUUAUGUUGAGGGCUUGAUGCCCUGGUUGGUACCACAUGCAUGAUUAAGUUGUUGUAGUUGCAUUGUCGAGUUGACGUCGUUGUUGUCGCAUUGUCGUUGUUGUUAAGUUGUCAUUUAUCAAUGAGUUGUUAAUGAAGAAUUAUGGGAGAGAGAGACUUUUAGUCCCCUUGCACAUCUAAGAGAGUUUUACUAUAAUCUCAAAUAUUACAAUUGUUCAAUCACACAAGCAAGAGACUUUCAAAUGCUCAAACACACAAGCAAGAGACUUCUUAUUGUCUAACUUAAUCAAAUAAAAGGUUGUUUGAUUUUUACACUUGAUAUACAACAAAGGUGUGAACAAAAUACAAAACACAGUUAGACUCCUAAGACUUUAUAAUUUCUAAGAUAUAAACUUGGUAAGAAAUUCUUAAAUGUUUAUGCUUUUUUGAAUUUGACAUAUUAAUGGCACUUGUAAAAACUACAGAGUCUUAUUGAUUUUUUCAAGUCUUCGACUCCUUGUAUAGGGAAAAAAAAUGAGAGACGUUACAGAGUUGUCAGAGCAUUAAGAGUCCUUAAGAAGCUUCCAAAUCAAGACAUUGAGAAGAGCUUCAUUGGUUGUCGGUUGAUAUUAUGGCUUCGUCUAAAUUAUUCACAAUUAUGCAGUUGCAAAAAUCUCAAAUAAACUGGUUGGGGGGGGGGGGGGUGAUAACUCUAAAUUUUUCCAUGGGGUUAUGUCCUCUAUGAGACACUCGAAUAUUAUUAUUUCUUUUUUAGUGAAUGGGGCGCAAAUAGAGGGGGUCAAAGGUGUGAGAAGUGUUGUUUUCAAUCAUUUCAAUAACCAUUUCAAAAAGGUGGAGAUAAAUAGACUAGGUUUGGGGGAUUUAUUGUUUAAGACUACUGAUGAUGUUGAGGGGUUAAUCUUAUUAAACCUUUUUUGAUGGGGGAAACAAACGAAGCGAUGUGGAAGUGUGUUAUUUUUAAGAGUUCAUGGCAUGAUAUAAACCUCGAUUAAAGACUUUUGGGAUAUGUUGAAGGUGGAUUUGAUAUUAUUUUUUUUUGUGGAAUUUUACUGUAAUGGCAGGUUGACAAAAGGUUUGAAUAAUACUUUCAUUGCUUUAAAUUUAAAAGUGGAGAACCCGCAAAGACUGGCAAAUUUUAAGCCCAUCUCUUUGGUUAGUAACUUGUUUAAAACUGUGUAUAAGUUAUGAAUUGUAAGCACAUCUCUUUUGAAAUUCAUGUGGUGGGUUCUUGGCUGCAUGAGGCAACAUAAGUUAUGAAUUGUAAGCAUGGUAGUAUUCCUUUUGUGUAUUUGAGGCUGCCUAUCGGUGGUGAUCCGAGAAAGCUUCAGUUUUGGUAUCCUUUGGUUGAUCAUAUUAGAGGUAGACUGUCUGGUUGGAAGAGUAAAAAAGUUUUCUUGCAUGGUUGGCUGAUUCUCCUGAAAUUUGUAUUGUCGUCCAUUCUGAUCUAUUUUCUUUCCUUAUUUAGUUGAUAGUGGAAAACACAAACAUAAAAGUUGGGAAUGAAAUGGUAAAGAACAAUUACAGUUUAUGGGUGUUUUAAUUUUAUUUACAGAGUGCAUAAUGUGAAGAAAGGAAUUCAGCGGUAGUUAACUACCGCUGGAGGCAUUUAAGUAUUUUAUUUGUGUCGUCAGGAAACUUUUGAUGUCAAAAAAACUACUUUCUAACUUUUAACAUAAUUUGGAUUUCAGUUCUUUUUAUUAUUUGAAAGGAUCUCAAUAAGAGACAUUUUAAUAAUAAGACGGAACAAUUUUCCUCUUUAUUGAAAAAUGUUAAACUUCAAGUUUAUUGGUGGCUAUUAUGCCCUUUUCAAUUUUUAGUACACGAUUUAAAGAUUGAGUAAUUUGUUAUGCUUUCAGGUUGUAAGAUAAUUCUUUAUUUUCCUUCGACUACUGUGUAGUAACUUAUCUGUGCUUUUGUAUCAUCUAAACAUUUUAACUUUCUUUGAUACACCUUGUACUAGAGGAACUUUAGUUGAUUUUUAAUUUAUUUGUUUAACUUUUUCAAAAAAUAAAAUAAAGACAAAUGUAAUCAAAAAUUUAUUUUCAUAAAUUUUUAUUUUAUUUAUUUAUAUAUUUUGAAUUUAUCUAACGAAAGAAUAAACAUUGUUCGAGUCACGACAAAUCAUUUCUUACAUAGAAAAAGAAAAAAUCUCCUCUCCUCUACGAAUAGGAAUUUAUAUAUAUAUAUAUAUAUAUAUAAUAAUUAAAAAUGAAAAAGCCAUAAAUAUAGCGUCAUAGGAGCGAAAAUCCAUCGCUGAUUGGACAUUUUGUGGCUUUUCCCACCUUUACCUACUCUCGUAGUAUUUUUAUUUAAUUUUCAGAAAAAUAUUUCUAGUUAUGAAAAAAAGUGACGCGUAAAAAACAAAAAAACAAGAAAGAGGUCAAAAUUGAAAACUUUCGCCACAUCAGAAUAAAAAGGCACGUGUCUGAAUAUCAUUGGCUAGCCCACGUAAACCUCUCCUCCACCCUUUCUUCUAUUUGAAUCGGAAGCUCUAAUUCUCAGAUCCACUUCUUACCCACCGGAACCAAAUUUCUCAAUCUCUCUCUCUCUCUCUCUCUCUCUCAAUCGAUCUUUCACAAAUAGGUAAAUCUCUUUCUCUCUCAUUCUCAGAUUUGUAUCAAUUCAUCGGAUUCGUUCGAUCUUCGUUGUAUGCAUGUGCGUUAACGAUGUAUAAUUUGUCUGGAUCAACAUUGUGUGAGAAAAUUGUUGAUCUGUUGCGUGUAAUUAGGGUUUUGAAUUCGUGUAUGUUCGGAUUUAUGUUUUGUUUGUGCUUGUGUUUCGGAUUUAUGUUUUGUUUGUGCUUGUGUUUCGGAUUUAUGUUUUGAAUGUAUUCAUACGGAUCUAGCUGGAUCGAGGUGGAUUUUUGGUUUUACGAUGAUUUUGUCGUGUUAACCUAGUUUAUUUGUUUGUAUUAUUAUUUAAUGCAUGUACCAAAAUAUUGAAUUAUUUGAUUAAUAUAUGGAUAAUUGAAUUCGUAAGUUCUUUGAAUUCAUGAAUCUUAACUGAGUAAUUUGCUUUGUAAUGUAAUGUAAUGUCGUUGAAUUGGAUAUUGUCUUUGUUUUUGUUUUCCUGUGUGUUUGUUUCAAUGCUCAAAAUCAUUAUAUCUGCAUGUUUCUUGGUUAUUUCUCUUGCAACAUGCAAAACAUCAUGUCUUAUUUAUAUGUUGAAAUUCAAUUCAAUUCAAUUCAUAUCUAUUUGAUUUGAUUUUGAUGCCGAGGUGUUCUUAGUUAUAAUUGCGGUGUAAAUUUUGUGGUGCAGGUUAAAUAAGAUGGGAGGUGGGUUUAGGGUACUUCACUUAGUAAGGCCAUUUCUAUCAUUCCUUCCUGAAGUUCAGACCGCGGACAGGAAAGUGCCGUUUAGAGAGAAGGUCAUCUAUACGGUGAUCUCCCUCUUCAUUUUUCUUGUUUGUAGUCAGCUUCCUCUGUAUGGAAUACACUCGACAACAGGUGCAGAUCCAUUCUAUUGGAUGCGUGUUAUCCUUGCUUCAAACCGUGGAACUGUUAUGGAGCUUGGAAUCACCCCCAUUGUCACUUCUGGACUUGUAAUGCAGCUUUUGGCUGGUUCUAAGAUCAUUGAAGUCGACAACAAUGUCCGCGAGGAUCGUGCUCUCUUGUAAGUAAUUUAUUUCUGCAUAUUUCUUGUUGAGUUUUGGGUGCAAUAUGGUGGAAAAUUUUGUUUGAUCUAAUAUGCAAAAGUAGAUUGGCUAAUGAGAUAAAUUACUCUUUGCUCGCAGAAACGGUGCACAGAAGCUACUUGGCAUCUUGAUAGCUGUUGGAGAGGCUGUUGCCUAUGUUCUUUCUGGAAUGUAUGGUAGUGUAGGCCAGCUUGGAGUGGGAAAUGCCAUCCUUAUCAUCCUCCAGCUCUUUUUUGCCGGUAUCAUUGUCAUAUGUUUAGAUGAGCUCCUUCAAAAAGGCUAUGGUUUGGGAUCUGGAAUUUCUCUAUUCAUUGCCACUAAUAUCUGGUAAAUUUUGCUUUGCCUUUUUUUUUUUCUCUUCCCUUUUCUACAUUAUCAUUAUUUAUGGAUUGCGCUAUUGCAACUACUAUACAAAAAAAAAAACUAAGGAUGAAUUCUCUCAUUUGGAUGCAGUGAAAAUAUUAUAUGGAAAGCAUUUAGUCCCACAACCAUUAACAGUGGUCGGGGAGCUGAGUUUGAGGGUGCUGUUAUUGCUCUAUUCCAUUUGUUGAUAACUAGAACAGACAAGGUUCGUGCCCUUCGGGAAGCAUUUUACCGGCAGAAUCUUCCCAAUGUCACAAAUCUGCUAGCUACUGUCUUGAUCUUCCUAAUUGUGAUAUACUUCCAAGGUUUCCGCGUGGUUUUGCCUGUAAGGUCAAAGAAUGCCCGUGGACAGCAGGGUUCAUAUCCAAUCAAACUGUUUUACACCUCCAACAUGCCCAUUAUUCUUCAGUCUGCCCUUGUUUCCAAUCUCUACUUCAUUUCCCAGGUAGUAGAGUUGAAUUAUGGUAUGUUGCUAAUUCGAGUAAAUAUAUUUCUAUCCAUUUUAACAAUAUGAUUUUACUGGAUUUUUACAGCUGCUACACAGAAAAUACAGUGGAAACUUCAUUGUGAAUCUGUUGGGCAAAUGGAAGGAAUCUGAAUAUGGAGGUGGUCACUCUAUUCCUGUUGGUGGCAUUGCAUACUAUAUAACUGCACCCUCUAGGUAAUUAUACCCAUUAGAUUCUUUGCCUAGUUUCAUAUAAAGCUUCAAUCGAUAUUUAAUGAUAUUUAUUGUCUUAGCUCUAAUUUGUCAUUUUGAACUGUUAUGUUUUACAGCUUAGCUGAUAUGGCAGCCAAUCCUUUCCAUGCAUUGUUCUACCUUGUGUUUAUGUUGUCAGCAUGUGCCUUGUUCUCUAAAACUUGGAUUGAAGUGUCUGGUUCGUCUGCUAGAGAUGUUGCCAAGCAGUUGAAGGUACAGAUUUGACAAGCAUUUAUGUAAAAUUCUUUCUUGUUCUAUACUUUUAUCUAGUACUUAGGUUUAUAACGAGCAUUUUUUUCUCAGCACAUGUUCAUAACAAAAAUAUUCAUUUGCUGAAAAUAAGCAGCGUGACUUGUUUAUUUACGAAGUGUCAAUAUGCUGAAAGUUUUUUUUUUUCCCCAAUCGUUUUAUUUACACUUGUCUUCACUUAAAACACUUUGCUGAUUAUUUUUUAGGCUUUAAAUACUUGCUUCUGAUUUAACAGACUGAAUUUUUUAUCAUGAUGGCAUCUCUACUAUAUUGCUUUUCUGCAGUUGAUAACUGUCUUAAGGCUAUUCACUUUUUAAACACUGAAAUUGGUCUUUGUAGUGAAGUCUUGGUUUUAUUUCUUUCUAGUUCUAAACAAUCAUUUUUCAACGUGCAGGAACAACAAAUGGUAAUGCCUGGUCAUCGGGAAUCAAAUUUGCAAAAAGAGCUGAACCGAUAUAUUCCCACUGCUGCUGCAUUUGGAGGAAUGUGUAUUGGUGCCCUAACAGUAUUGGCAGAUUUCAUGGGUGCAAUUGGUUCCGGGACCGGAAUAUUACUUGCAGUAACAAUCAUCUAUCAGUACUUUGAGACAUUUGAGAAGGAAAGAGCCAGCGAGCUUGGUUUCUUUGGUUUCUAAGCUCUGCUCAGUCAUCACUGUUGGUGACGCAAUCGGGGGUUAUCCCGCACCCACAGUUUUGGGGUAUUGAGGAAUGGAAGUAGGUCCUUUAACACAGUAAGGAAGAACGUAGAUUAGCUUGUUAAUCACCUUUUUCUCAAGUGAGGAAGUACCAAAGUAGCAUAUCGUUGUAAACGUUUUUGCAUUUUCUUUGAAAAUAUUUGUGUUAAUUUGAUAUUUCAAAAUUAGACACCAUCGAGUAAAGCGUACUUUUAGAAGUCAAUUAAUUUUGAUAUUUAUAUUUACUUUUUGUGUUCCAUGUCAAUUGAAAAGGAGUGGGCUCGCAGAAUUCAGGGCAAAUGUUUCUUCAACAGAAAUCUUGGAUGACCUCCCCAAAGAAAAAGAAAGUCUUAAUGGAUGAGCCAUUUUUGCUUAUGCUUAUCUUGGACUGAGGAUAUUCUGACUUGUCUUUUCUUAUUGAACAUAUUAAAUGAAAUUCUAGCUUACCUUUAACGGACAUAUUCUCACACAUUAGCCUCUCGUUUUAGCUGUUCCUUUCUUGCAAUACUGCCUUUUAAAAUUUCAGGAACCAUAAUACAAUACAGACAUCAUAUGUCACGGUAGCAUUAUACAUCUUUUGUGAGCGACUACGUGUCUUGUUGAUAUCUAAUAAGAGCUCACAAGUAGUGUAUAUAUCCUCGGAGUUUAUUGUUGCAUCCUUUUCCAAAUUCUAUCUCUUAGGUAACCAAAAACAAUGGAGUGGGAAACAUCUCUCAAAAGCAGGUGAGAGGUUCUCAUCAAGGGCCAGUUUGGGUUAGUUUCUUUAUGAAAACACUGAAGAUACAAUUUUCGUUAAUGAGAUUUUAUAAAUUACUCCCUCCGUCCCAAAUGAUAUGGGAAAGAUAAAUGAAAAAAUUGAAAAAAGAAAGAGUAAUAAAUAGUUAAGGAUAUAAUAGGAAAAAUAACAUUAAUGUUUCAUUGGUAUUCUAAAGUGACAUACAAUUUAGGACAAAUAUUUUUUCUAAAGUGACAUACAAUUUGGGACGGAGGGAGUAAAAUAAAGACUAUUACUUUUCACACCCUGCUGCCUUCUCGCGCGCCCUGCAAAAUUUCCAAAAAUACCCCUGGUCUGGAUUACGUAAUCCGGACCAGAUUGUUAGUGAUUUCCGGAAAAUUAAAUCCGGACCAGAUGUUAUGGGUUUUUUUGUGUCUUUCUUUGAUGUCAAUGGUCUCUGUUGACUGUUAUAUGAACCCCACACAAGCUACAAUGCUAUUGCAGGGUUCAUAUGAACGGUCAACAAUGACCAUGACACCACCAACACUCCUAAAAGCUACCUAAAAAACUAAUUAUUUUUUUUUUUCCGUAGAAAAUGGAAGAAAAGAGGUGAAGUGAGAAAAAUGCUAGAUAUCAAGAAUGAUUUUAUAAGAAAGAUUCAAGAAUGACAUGGCACAAUAAUCACCCUUAGAUUUCAGUCUCAUUUAUUAACCUUUCAUAAAAAAAAAAUACAUAACACCCACCACCCCAUGAUUUCCGGCUAGGCUGAGAUUUUAUUGGCUAACAUUAAUUUCAGGACGAUUUCUUGAUAAAAUCUAAGGGUGAUUAUUCUGCCAUGUCAUUCUUGAAAUUUUCUUGAUAAAAUAUUUCUUGAUAUAUAGCAUUGCUCGUGAAGUGAAGAAUGAAGGUAUUUGUUGAAGAUGGAAGCCUAUAUAUAGCCUAAAACAAGUCCUAUGUCAUUACUACGGUCAAUGAAAACGUGUUAGUGGUUGUAACUGUCCAAACCGACAUUAAUGGCUCUCUUUCAAAAGAAUCAAAUGUUGAAGCUUUCCGGAUUUUACAUUCCAGAAUGUCCUUAGCCCUACAGGAAGUGCCAACUUUUCCCUCGUUUACCAUUAUCGCAUUAAUCCGGAAAAUAUAUUUCGGAAAACAGAUGUGCGUUUCGGAUUUUAUAUUCCGGAAUGCAUCAGUCAUGGCCGGUGGUCUGCACCCCACGUUUUUGUCGGUGGUCAAGUCAAAAAAACACAUUUUACCACGUUUUUUGACUGCAUUUAUGGCCUCCCAACCGUUUUUGACCAACCCCUCCCUAUAAAUAGCCUUCCAAACCCCACCAUUUCUCACACAAUCCUCUCCCACCCUCUCCUCUUCUUCCGUCUACAACCAUGGUUUUCCAUCGUUGGCCUUUCAUAGAUAAGGGCCUCGUUGAAAACUUUCAGGGUUUGUAUGAACGGUCAAUGAGGAUGGAACCGCGCUGCAACGAAGUGCGGUUCAUCUGAGGGUCAUGUGGGUAAGUGUGGUUCUUAGCUUGUCAUGUCCGGGCGUAAGUUUGAGCACCCCCCCGCCUCCCCCAGGGCAUUGUUUUCUUCUUCCUGCCCUCCUCUUCCCUCCUCCUCCGGUUUUCCUCCAAUAGGGAACCUACUGCUAUGUCCUAUCACAUAGCAGUGGUUAGGAUCUUAGGAGAUUAGAAUUAGGCUCUUAGUAGAUUAGAAAUAGAUUUAAGAUCUUAUGCAAUAAGCUUAAAAAGCUUGAAAAUUAUUGUAUUGUAUUGUUCAUAUAUUAAUAAAAUGAGUUGUUUUUAUAUUUGUGUCUUUUUAUUUCUGUAUUUUAUCUUAUUCGCAUUUUACUUUACGAAUUGUAUAGCUUAAAAUUGCAAAAGUUUUGAUAAAACAUUAUUCCGGAUUUUCAAAUCCAGAAACAUCUGCAAAAUUCUAACAAUGCAAUCCGGAAAACGAAAUCUGAACUAGGGGUAAAAUUGGGAAAAAAAAAUAGGGCGCGCGAGGAAAGACAUAGGGUGGAAAAAGUAAUAAUCUAAAAUAAAAGCUUAUUUAUUUACAUAGGUUAUUUUUCAUAAGCUCAAACCAAACGGGGCUCAAAUUCGUUACACAAUCAAUUCGAACUUAUUGUAUAUGACUUAUGAGUACUUUCUUGCUACCAACCACCCUUGGAGAGGAAAUUUAGCUGAUGAUCAAUUCUUUUUAAUGGGGAACAGAUUGAAGGAAAGGUUGAGGAAUCAAUUGGUUAAGUUGGGAUAAGCUUGUUAACAAUAUAGGGUUUAAUUAUAGAAUAAUAGAGAGACAAUUAAGGUUCCAAUAAUAAUAUGAUAAUAACUUAACAUUACAAGAGGUUACAAGAGAAUAUAUAAAACCUAAUAGACUGCUAAUUUAGUAAUAUAAAUAUCCAAUAACUUAUGCCUAAUACUUUAUUAUCGAACACUUAACCUCAAACUCAUGAAGCAUCAACAAAAACAUUGUAAAUUUGUCAAAUAAAAUACGAAAAAAUAUACUAAAUAAUAUAAAGUUCUAAAACUCUCAAGCUUACUAAGUUUUAAGCUUGUUUAAAAAAAACACAAAUUCUACCUCUGUACUAGAAAUAUCUUUUCUUGUGCCAAAAUGACUUACGACAUCACUUCAUGAAGAUGUUUGUUAUAUAAAACAACAACGAUCACCGCAUUAUACAACAAACAAGUGUUAUAAGUUUCCUACCUUGUGUGUUGUUGUCCACCAUGGCCAGCCAAGUUAUACCUGGAAAAGUUGAAGGAGACAAAUACAGAUCUUUCUUAGAUGAUGAGGCUCAUACCACACAGUGGAGACAUGGUGGACCACCCAUAUAUGAUGUUGUCAACAAGCUUUUUGAACAAGGACGAACCAAGGUGCAUGCACCAUUUAUAUAUCUCUAUAACCUAUAUUGUUUUUAUAUUGUAUGAUGAAUUAGUAUAUAUGUAUAAUCUUUAGGUGUGGCCAGAAGGAUCAUUGGAGGAAACAGUCCAAAACGCCAUAAAAUCAUGGGAGAUGGAGCUUUCACACAAAACCCGCGUGCAGGAUUUUAAGACUAUAAAUCCUGAAAAGUUUAAGCUCUUUGUUAAUGGUACAAUUCAAUCCUUCUUUAUUUCUUCUCUAUCUUAUUCCUAGUUAGAUUUUAAUUUGGUUGAAUAUGAUAAUGCUAUUUCAAAAAAUGGAAAAAAUUUAUUAAUCAAAGUGACAUUAAUGAUUAUUUUACGACCGUUCAUGAGGAUCAAAAUUUUGUAUCUUAAGAUUAUAAUAUCAAGUUCUUAUCAACUCAUAUCUCAAAUAUUAUGAGAUAUAAGAAGGAUGAAAUUACUUCUCUUAGAACUAUUGGAGGACUAAAGGAGACCAAGGAGGAAGGACACCCAACAGAAGACUCUAUGAACCUUCCAACACCAAUGGCAACCUCUUAGGAGAGAUGAACCAAACCUACUACCCCAAGAGUAGAGACAAAGGACCAGGACCGACCCCAAACCCCACUCAAAGUCACCUAAACCCCUCCCCACCAUAGCAAACUACUGAUCCCAAUAGAUAGUUGGUUCUACCACUCAUUAAGAAUGGGAACAUGGAUGACCAAAUUGUCUCUUGUAAAACCAGCACCAAGAGAUGAAUUGAAGGUAAGGAUUGUAAGGUAAGGAUUGUCCCCACAUAUAAACACAUUGUCAGGCCAUCUUCUAUUCGAUGUGGGACUCUUAACACGCCCCCUCACGACCAGCACUAUUGGGCUUGGUUCGUGGACAUAAAUGGUGGGUGGCCUGAUAGCGAAAACCUGAUAGGAGGUGGCCCAAUGGAUCUUGAAGAAACUCUGAUACCAACUUAUAAAUCGUGGUUGGGCCUAAACAACCCCACAAAACCGGCUUGUAAGGUGAGGAUUGCCCCCACAUAUAAACAUAUUGUAAGACCAUCUUUUAUCCGAUGAUGUGGGACUCUUAACAACCUAAAAAUCAUAUACCACACCCUCGAUGCUAUCCCACACGUCACAAAAAGGUUAUUUGCUGAUUUCGGCUUCUCACCGCAAAAGCCAGAGAGUAGUCGCCUGAUCUAUCAACACUUUACGUCUUAGUGACCAUUUUGAAAUUUUGUUUCUUUAUCAAAUGAUCUCACCUACAACUUCUUGACUUGAUGAUUUAAUGUUGAUAGUUUUCAAAUAUUAUGCUCCAUUCCCCCUAUGAUAUAAGUUACUUUAACAAAUUAUUCGUGAGUUAAGAAAUACAGUGUCAUGCAAUAACACUUCGUGGCAGCUACGUGAAAGGAUUAUGAAUUCGAAUUUGGGGUUUGUCACUUAUGUCAUUCAUUAUGUCCAACUCAUUUAUGCCUAUAUUAUAUGUUUAAGAAAUGAAAAAAUUAUAUUCGGACCAAAAACAAAACAAAUUUUUUUAUGAGUGUGAAAACAUAUUUUUAUUUUUAGAGACUAAAAAUUAAAUUACGCUAUAUAAUUAAAGAUGAAAAACUUAUCUCACCAAUUUACGACAUCAAAAAAUUUGAUAAUAUAGAACAGAUGAGUAUUUGUCUUGUUCCUAAACUGAGGUCCACAAAAGACAAGCUCCCCCAUUUUUUUAAUUUGUUUUAUUAAGGAGUUGAAAGAGGCAAAAUUUUGUUUUAUUUUUGAGGUGAAUUGGCUAACAUAAUGGCACCGAAUAUCUUGUUCCUUUCUAUAUGUAGUAUUGAAGGUGUAUUUUUUAUACUAUAUGGAUUAUAAAAAAGUAGGCUUAAUUGCACUUUUGGACCCCUAUCUUUCCAAAAGUUGCGGUUAUGGACCCCUAACUAAUUUAAAUACAAAACAGCCCCCUAUGUUUUGAUUCUUUGGCAGUUUUGGACCCCCAAGGCAAAAAAAUAAAAUAAAAAUUGACACGUGGCACCUCACUUAGGGUGCCACGUCAGCGUUGACCGAGUCAACAAUGGACUGGGGGUCCAAAACUGCCAAAGAAUCAAAACAUAGGGGGCUGUUUUGUAUUUAAAUUAGUUAGGGGCCCAUAACCGCAACUUUUGGAAAGAUAGGGGUCCAAAAGUGCAAUUAAGCC